AGGUCAUUGCUAUCGGAGUCCGAUUUAGCCAUGCUAGUCGUGCGAGUUCAGACUCGCGGCAAAUAGCUCAGUAACACGUGGUCAAGCUACCCUACAGAGAACGAUAUCCUCGGGAAACUGAGGCCAAUAGUUCAUAAGGUUCCCAAGCUGGAGUGCCGAGAACUGGAAACGUUCCGACGCUGUAGGAUGCGGCUGCGGUCGAUUAGGUAGACGGUGGGGUAACGGCCCACCGUGCCGAUAAUCGGUACGGGUUGUGAGAGCAAGAGCCCGGAGACGGAAUCUGAGACAAGAUUCCGGGCCCUACGGGGCGCAGCAGGCGCGAAACCUUUACACUGCACGCAAGUGCGAUAAGGGGACUCCGAGUGCGAGGGCAUAUAGUCCUCGCUUUUCUGUACCGUAGGAAGGUACAGGAACAAGAGCUGGGCAAGACCGGUGCCAGCCGCCGCGGUAAUACCGGCAGCUCAAGUGAUGACCGAUUUUAUUGGGCCUAAAGCGUCCGUAGCUGGCCAAACAAGUCUGUCGGGAAAUCCAUCCGCUCAACGGAUGGGCGUCCGGCGGAAACUCUUUGGCUUGGGACCGGAAGGCUCGAGGGGUACGUCUGGGGUAGGAGUGAAAUCCCGUAAUCCUGGACGGACCACCGAUGGCGAAAGCACCUCGAGAAGACGGAUCCGACAGUGAGGGACGAAAGCUAGGGUCUCGAACCGGAUUAGAUACCCGGGUAGUCCUAGCUGUAAACGAUGUUCGCUAGGUGUGGCACAGGCUACGAGCCUGUGCUGUGCCGUAGGGAAGCCGAGAAGCGAACCGCCUGGGAAGUACGUCCGCAAGGAUGAAACUUAAAGGAAUUGGCGGGGGAGCACUACAACCGGAGGAGCCUGCGGUUU
Molecule: ribosomal RNA, 881 nt
Filed under: Halopelagius sp.
Lineage: Archaea; Methanobacteriati; Methanobacteriota; Halobacteria; Halobacteriales; Haloferacaceae
Description: bacterial SSU rRNA
Rfam family: Archaeal small subunit ribosomal RNA
Source: RNAcentral